ACACGUCUAUAUUAGAUACCCCUGUAGUCCCAGCCGUAAACUAUGCGCGUUAGGUGUAUCGGUGACCACGAGUUACCGAGGUGCCGAAGGGAAACCGUGAAACGUGCCGCCUGGGAAGUACGGUCGCAAGGCUGAAACUUAAAGGAAUUGGCGGGGAGCACCACAACAGGUGGAGCCUGCGGUUUAAUUGGACUCAACGCCGGGAAGCUCACCGGAUAGGACAGCAGAAUGAUUGCCGGGCUGAAGACCCUGCAUGACUAGCUG
Molecule: ribosomal RNA, 264 nt
Filed under: uncultured archaeon
Lineage: Archaea
Description: partial 16S ribosomal RNA
Rfam family: Archaeal small subunit ribosomal RNA
Source: RNAcentral